UGACAGGUGUGGGGUUGUGCUGAGGGUGUGUGACAGGUGUGGCGGCUGUGCUGAGGGUGGGUGACAGGUGUGGGGACUGUGCUGAGGGUGGGUGACAGGUGUGGGGACUGUGCUGAGGGCGGGUGACAGGUGUGGGGGCUGUGCUGAGGGCGGGUGACAGGUGUGGGG
Molecule: long non-coding RNA, 168 nt
Organism: Erinaceus europaeus (western European hedgehog)
Lineage: Eukaryota; Metazoa; Chordata; Mammalia; Eulipotyphla; Erinaceidae
Exons: 3
Source: RefSeq, a predicted model, not a curated record